This 1013-nucleotide long non-coding RNA is filed under the name Gallus gallus (chicken). RNAcentral describes it as "lncRNA (ENSGALG00010000568.1)". Lineage: Eukaryota; Metazoa; Chordata; Aves; Galliformes; Phasianidae. The record is from RNAcentral.
CAUCCAUUCUCUCCAAGCCCAGCCAUGUGUUGGCACAAGGAGCUACAGCACCAGGACAAGAGAUUGCCUAGCAACCUCUUUGAGAUUGGAUACACAGUGCUCUGAGCAGGCUGCUGCAGCAUCCCAAUUGCAGCAUCCUCAAUUCCCUCCCUAGGAAGCAUCUCCAGCUCCUCGCAAAGGGCCUUCGCGAUGAACCAACCACUGGUACUGCAGUGCUAACGCCAUCCCAGAGGUGCUAGCAGAGAAGAGGGAGAAGAAAAUGCAAGCAUUUCCCAUUCCUUAUUUUCAGAGCAGCAUCCCACCAGCAUGACUCAAGGAUCGUCUCCUCUAGAUAACUGCUGGGCCAGCCACCAGGCAUACAUUAAGCACUGAUCUCAGUCCUGCUGCUUCCCAUGCAUGGGACGAGGAUAAAAAUGUAAGGAAUUUCAGAUAAACGCAUUUGGAAAGCCACUUAGGGCUACUGGACAGAUGAAGGCAAAGAAGGCUGGGGAACAUUUUCAUAAUGAACAGUAAAAGAGGGGCACUGCUCAUCUCCUGAAAUGUGUUAACAAGUUGGUCUUUAGUUCUAGCCCCUGAGUUUUGGUUGUCAAGGCAAUCCUCCAGCACAGAAGCCUUUAAAUAAAGGAUCCCUGUAAGAACAGGAGGGAGCAAUUCCCAAAGCUGAUCUAUGCUAAGACCAUCACUGUUUUAUUUCCAUUUGUCUUGUCAAAAGAGGGAAAACAUUCAACACAAGUGUGCGCACUGGUGUGCCUUGGUGUCAUGCAGACAUCACACAGAGGAUCAAGCACCAUAGGUAUUCCCACAUACACAGGAACAAAGACAGUCCCCAAAGCAAAGGCAAUCCUUCUGGAAGGUUUCCCUUGGUUUCUAAAGGAAAACCAAGAAAACAGUUGCGGGGCUUUAGAUGACAACUAUAUAACACAAAAGGCUACAAUUCAGACCUGCUCCCUGCCCUACAGCACAUUGCUGGCAUUGCUGGGCAUCUGCUUACAGCACAUCAGCCUUGUUGUCCC